UUUUGCAGAUAGAUUGUACACAAUAUAUAAAGGUCCAGUAAAUUGUCAGCUUAAGUUUCAAGAUUUAUUUUCUUUGACCAAGCUAAGAACUCUGAAACUGAAGCAAUGCUACUUUACAGCCGGGAUGCCGUAUGAAUGAUUAAGAAUCAGUGGAUGAGGUAGCAUCAUCCUUGUGCUUAAUCAUGCCAGAGUCCACUAGAAUCGGAAUCUCUGCUGCUAGCCAUGGGGCAAGACCCAAACAAAGUGCAUGUGCUAUGCCAAACCUAGGACAAUUUUUGGCCCAAAGUGGCUUGAAAUGAACCGUUAAGCAAAUCUUCCCCCCUCUAUACAUCUUCUGGGUCUUGCCGUCGAGUUGAGGUAGCUCGAUCUCCGGAGCAGUAGAUGGAUAAGUAACGGGAAUAUCGAACUGGAGAUCAAACUCGUACUUUAGCAGGUUGUGGACGUACCAGCACUUACCGGUCCAACGCGUCCCCUCGGGAUUAGCAGCGGAGAUACGGAACCAAUCGUUGUCGUUGGACUUGUUCAUCUGAGUGUAAGCGAUCAAAGCUUUGUACUCCUCCUUCAGCCUCUGUGUCCAAGUAGCUCCGUCCCUUGGUCCAGCUUUCGUUGCCAGGAGCGGGAUCUGAGUCAAUGUCGAUUUCGUGUUUGGAUCCCAUCCCUCCAUUUUUCCCCCUCCGGUUAACCCUAACCCUAAUUUUG
This 699-nucleotide unclassified non-coding RNA is filed under the name Hevea brasiliensis (rubber tree). Lineage: Eukaryota; Viridiplantae; Streptophyta; Magnoliopsida; Malpighiales; Euphorbiaceae. The record is from RNAcentral.